AUUGAACGCUGGCGGCAGGCCUAACACAUGCAAGUCGAGCGGAUGAAGGGAGCUUGCUCCUGGAUUCAGCGGCGGACGGGUGAGUAAUGCCUAGGAAUCUGCCUGGUAGUGGGGGAUAACGUCCGGAAACGGGCGCUAAUACCGCAUACGUCCUGAGGGAGAAAGUGGGGGAUCUUCGGACCUCACGCUAUCAGAUGAGCCUAGGUCGGAUUAGCUAGUUGGUGGGGUAAAGGCCUACCAAGGCGACGAUCCGUAACUGGUCUGAGAGGAUGAUCAGUCACACUGGAACUGAGACACGGUCCAGACUCCUACGGGAGGCAGCAGUGGGGAAUAUUGGACAAUGGGCGAAGUCCUGAUCCAGCCAUGCCGCGUGUGUGAAGAAGGUCUUCGGAUUGUAAAGCACUUUAAGUUGGGAGGAAGGGCAGUAAGUUAAUACCUUGCUGUUUUGACGUUACCAACAGAAUAAGCACCGGCUAACUUCGUG
This 484-nucleotide ribosomal RNA is filed under the name uncultured bacterium. Its description in RNAcentral is "partial 16S ribosomal RNA". It matches the Rfam family "Bacterial small subunit ribosomal RNA", at positions 30 to 507 of the family's 1533-position model. The record is from RNAcentral.